UGUGUGCGUGCGUCCGUCAACAAUUUGUUUGUGUAGACAGUAGAGGUCACAGUUUUCAUCCGAUCUUUAUGAAAUUUGGUCAGAAUGUUUAUCUUAAUGAAAUCUGGGUUGGGAUUGUAUUUGGGUCAUCUGGGGUCAAAAACUAGGUCACUAGGUCUAAAACUAGGUCACAUAAUAGGUCAAAUAAUAGAAAAACCUUGUGUAGACAAUAGAGGUCGCAGUUUUCAUCCAAUCUUUAUGAAAUUUGGUCAGAAUGUUUAUCUUGAUGAAAUCUGGGUUGGGAUUGUAUUUGGGUCAUCUGGGGUCAAAAACUAGGUCACUAGGUCAAAUAAUUGAAAAACCGUCAACAAUUUGUUUGUGUAGACAGUAGAGGUCACAGUUUUCAUCCAAUCUUUAUGAAAUUUGGUCAGAAUGUUUAUCUUGAUGAAAUCUGGGUUGGGAUUGUAUUUGGGUCAUCUGGGGUCAAAAACUAGGUCACUAGGUCAAAAACUAGGUCAAAUAAUAGAAAAACCUUGUGUAGACAUUAGAGGUCGCAGUUUUCAUCCAAUCUUUAUGAAAUUUGGUCAGAAUGUUUAUCUUGAUGAAAUCUGGGUUGGGAGACUUUAUUUGGGUCAUCUGAGGUCAAAAACUAGGUCACUAGGUCAAAUAAUUGAAAAAACGUCAACAAUUUGUUUGUGUAGACAGUAGAGGUCACAGUUUUCAUCCAAUCUUUAUGAAAAUUUGGUCAGAAUAGUUAUCUUGAUGAAAUCUGGGUUGGGAUUGUAUUUGGGUCA
This is a long non-coding RNA of Dreissena polymorpha, 773 nucleotides long. RefSeq lists it as uncharacterized. The transcript has 3 exons. Lineage: Eukaryota; Metazoa; Mollusca; Bivalvia; Myida; Dreissenidae. The record is from RefSeq and is a predicted model, not a curated record.